AACUCUGAGCGCCCUUCUCUCCAACCCCGAGCGCCCGAGCAAAAAAAAAAACCAGUCUCUCCAACCCCGAGCACCCGUCUUCCCCUGCCGCCGCCGCUCUGCUAGGGUUGAGCUCCCCUGCCGCCGCCGACACGCCGCCGCCCCUCACCCUCCAUCUUCUCCACCGGAUCCACCGCCCCGCUAGGAGAACACAUCCCCUGCCGCCGCCCUCUCCAUCCCGCCGGCCUCUCCAUCCCUCUGCAGCUGCUGCCCUCUCCAUCCCGCCGGCCGGCUGGAUCUGGUCGCCAUCGCCGGUUUUAGGAGCUCGUCACCGGCCACCACUCCCUUUGCAGCUGCUGCCCUCUCCAUCCCACAAGGACAUGAUGGGUCAUCAUUUUUGAUGAGGACAUCCCUAAUAUUUUUUCAUCAACUCCAAUUGAUGAUGUUGCUGCACAAGACAAGCCCAAUGAAGUUAGAUUUGGACCAAUAACAAGAGCACGUGCAAAGCUACUUGAGCAAUAGGUGAACUCACUCUUAAUUGAAUCUGAUGUUUUAAUUGAUGAGAGUUUUAUACUACCUAAAUCUAUGCAUCUGUAUGAUCGGAUUUGAAGAUAACUCAAGCAUUGCACGUGGAGGAGGAGGUUGCAGCAAGAUCCAUUGCCAUUGAUUUCCUAUAUCAAGAAGAGCGCGAGGGAGGAGAGGGACGCCGGCGCACCGCAUGAAGAGGAGGAAAUCAACUAAGCGCACGUUGAGGGAUAUGUGACACACAUAGGUCUUCUACGACAUGUUAUUUUGCCUAAGUGUGUGCACGAUGGGAGUUGGGCCUGCGUGCCCCUAGUUUGGGCUGAACUCAACGUUUUGGGUCAGUUUGUAUCAAGUUUGGGUUGAACCAAGUUCGAUAGGUUGCUGGACGUCCACCCUUCUAUAUAAUUUGAGGGGCGCCCACGAUUAGGGUUAGAUCACGUUUAGAUUAUUCAGAACUUUUCGUUGAACUGUUGCAAGCAUUCAUCUGAAAUUAUAUUCCUCUUUGAUUCGAUCAGGAAUUUUACCUUCA
This is a long non-coding RNA of Brachypodium distachyon (stiff brome), 1033 nucleotides long. RefSeq lists it as uncharacterized. Lineage: Eukaryota; Viridiplantae; Streptophyta; Magnoliopsida; Poales; Poaceae. The record is from RefSeq and is a predicted model, not a curated record. The transcript has 2 exons.